CAAGUUCCACGGGGCGGCCUCCAGAAAGUGGGAGAGAAAACGCGAGUGGAGCUGAGUUUAGGAGGCCUGGGGAGGAGAAAAGUGAAAAUUCAGUCAGAGAAACUUUCUUUAGAUAGGCAAAGCCUGCCCAAAGAUAAGCUUGAGGGACGAGGAAAACAGCGAGAACAGCUGAUAGGCUGUCUGGGUCGCAGGGCCCACGCGGGGCCAAGAAGUGUGCGUGAGGGAAAGCCCCGCAGGCCUGCAGGCUGGGGGUGGGGAUGGGGUGAAACCUGCGGCACGGUUUUUAGCCUUGGAGUCUGGAGGAGGAGUCGAGGAGGAAAAAGUAUCUUGCAAAAGUUAGGCGCUGCAGGAAGGAGAUCCUUUUUGCUGCUCGUCUCUUGGGGCCUUCCCCUCCCCUCCCGGUUUAGGGACCAAGUCGUCAGACACGCCCUCCCCAUCCUGGGGCCCCGCGGGACCCCGCUCGGGCGCACAUUCCCGCGUUCUGGUCUCGGAGUUGGGUUCCUGGGACUCAGAUGGCCCAGCAGGCAGUACCGAGGCAAGGGAGUCGCCUCUGGAACCGGCCCUGAGCGAACACCGGAGUCCCACCUGCGCCGAGGCCCCUGAAGGCCCAAGCAGGCCCAGCUCAGCGCUUCCGCCGCGGCCUCCUCUGGGUCCGCCGGUCCCCGCCGGAGCCCGGGCCCCAACCCUGGUGUCUCCGCCCGGGGAUCCUAGCCCCCUCCCUAUGCGCGCUGCCUCUUCCCUGAGGCCGCGCACUCCCUACGGCCGGCCUGGCCGGGCCGCCUCCCCCGCCCUCCCUGUGGCCCUCAACUACCUGCCUUGGGCUCGGGGGUCCUCCUCCUCCGCUGGCGCUGCACGCGCCUCCCAGCUCCGCUCGCGACGCUGGCGCUCUCGGCCUCUUCCCCUUGCCCCCCGGCCCCUUAUGUGACCACGUCACCCUCCUCCAGUCACCAUGUCCGAACUUCCGGACCCCCUCAGAACGCUGCGCAGUCCAGCCCUUCCGUCGGAAAUCGGAGCCGGGGGACCGUUUAGGGACCGGCUGGCUGGAACCCGCGACCUGGCCCUCGCCGCGCAGGGUCCCCUCGCCGAGCGCGCCGCACGCUGCGUCCAGCCGGGCCCCAGCUGCCCGGCGCUGCCAGACUCUCAAUGAGCCGCUCGCCCGCUCUAUUGUUGCUCCUUAGGGCUCCAUUAGACAGAAUUGGACAACAAUGUGGCGCCUGCCAUUGGCCAGGGGAGGCAGACGGCGCUCUGAUUGGCGGGGCCCGCGCCCGGGGAGCCCCGCAUUCUACAGUGUCCGAAAGAUUCGAAACUCCAAAAGCUCCACCGAGUGCCUCCGGGAGGGGAGGGGGCGCGCCAGGGAAGGAGUGGAAAAAAGUGGGCAAGGAGGAGCGUUGAAAAUAUCGUGACAAGUAGUUUCCGUGCGCCCAAGAGCGUGUGAAUUGCGCCUAAUUACCGUGUCCGGUGCCUCUACGUAGACGUGUGUAACCCCUCGGCUUCUGGGGCGCGGGCUCGGCUGGGCCGCUCUCACUGGCCCGGGGCGCUUGGCAAGGCCGACCUUCCCAAGUGGCCCUGGCGGCCCGGGGGCGGGAUGGGGGCAGGUGUCAAUUCAAUUACUGUGGUCGGGGUGGGGGUGGAGAGAGGAGGGUGCAUAUGGCAUAAAUGCCAAGACGAUUUUUCCUGCCUCCUUCCGGCUCCGUUUCGGCGCGCUCCCAAGUCCGACGCGUUUGGAGUAGUUGGAGGCUAUUUUGUUUUUUCCCCUACUGCCCUUAAAACGCAGGUCCUUUAUUUUCAAGUCCUGAUACGAUAGGCAGCACGGAGGGUAAGUGUGGUUUACGAGGAUUUUCGUUCUUAAGGAAGUCGGGAGAGAAGGAAUGAGGUCGCGCUUCCCGUCCACGCCCGCCGCGUCCCCUGCGCUCUGCGCCUUUCUUCUCCCCUCCCCCCAGCCCCAUCCCUCUGCCCCCUCUUGCUCUUUCCUUUCCUCACUUCUGCAGCAUCUCGAUUUCCUUUUCGUGGUGGUGGGAUUCUUUUCAUCGUUAUUGUUUUAAAUUAACGAACAGUUUAAUUUUCUUUUUUAAACGAAAGUUAAAAGUGGCCUCUCUGUCUCCCCAGAUCCUUUUGGACGCAGGGUGCGCAUCCAUCUGUCGGUCCUUCCGGGCUGCAGACAAGGUCGCCGCGGGCCCCCAGGAGUACUUUUAACUUUCGCCUUACUCGCCCGUCCUGACGUCACGGCCUGAGGUACAGCUCGGUCUGCAGAGGAGGAGAGGAAGACGGCACAUCCUGGAACCCAGCCCAAUCAGAGGGAAUCUGCCCACCCUUAGGACAGGUGCCUCUCUCUUCGGUGGAUCCUUCUCCCUCCUGUUCACAGCCCAACAGGUUCGAGACCCACACCCUUUCUUCUGAUGCCCCAGGUGCUCAUGUGAGUGAAUGUGUCAUGGAGGGAGGCGUGCACUCACACCUCCACAGGCCACUCCCGGGCUAGUCCUGCUUUGAAUUGAGCUCACAGAGGGGAGCAGCCCGGAAGGGGGUGGCCUGGCUGAGCGGCCAGGAGUGAGGGAGCAUGCCCAGACUGAGGCAGCAGGGGCUGCCCAUACACCAGAGUGUGGCAUCAUACCUGGACACACAACUGGUAUGUGUGACCUCAUUCUGCAAAAGUCUUGGACACAUCCUCACACCUGCAUGCAGUGACCACGCACAGGGUGCACUCACCUCUGACCCGGCCACCCUCCCACCCAAGAGGAUCCCUUCAGAAAGUUCGAUUAACUUCACAGCGCUCUCAUAAGCAUAUCCUCAUCCUGGAACAUGCAGUUGGUGUGUGACCUUUCACCCAGACACCCAGACUCCUACCUGGGUGACAGACGGAACACCAAUAGCAUAUGCUCACGCACAUGUGCCUUCGCUCCUGCACGGACCUAACCCUGCUCCAGGUCUGGCCCCUGCAGGCGGCUGGACUCUGGGCAGAGAAAGCCAGACCUCCCGUACAAAUGAGGCAGCGGAGGACAGAAAGCCCGUCUUCACAAUCACACACGGACACACUCACUCACGCAGGUCCUCUUAGCUCAGAAUCAUUUGCUGAUGCCUCUGCUGUGCAAGGGGCUGGGAGCCCCGGGUGAGCGCUCCCAGCCACGCACGGAAGUCCACCCACCAGUGUUCGCGGCUGGCCCCAUCCCCGAUGCUUUCGCCCAGGCGAAGGUGGGGUCCAAAGGGAUGGCCGUGGUGGAGACCCGGAGUGAGGCUGGAGUCAGAGGCUGAGGGUGCACAGGGGGCUGGAGGCAUGGCUUGGUGGCGCUGAGUAGGAGCCGGGCCAGGGGCGCUGACGGGGGACCCGGGAGGCAUUGACUUUUGCGCUGUUUGCCGGCGGCCUCGGAGCAAGCAGACGCCAUCUGUUCGCCGGCUGCGGCGCGUCCCGUUUAAUUACCCUCCCGGCAGCCUAAUAGAGAUGAUAUUAAACUAAA
Equus caballus (horse) is the source of this 3449-nucleotide non-coding RNA. The record is from RefSeq and is a predicted model, not a curated record. NCBI's taxonomy places the organism in Eukaryota, Metazoa, Chordata, Mammalia, Perissodactyla, Equidae.